GGAAGAACGUAGCGAAAUGCGAUAAGUAAUGUGAAUUGCAGAAUUCAGUGAAUCAUCGAAUCUUUGAACGCACCUUGCGCCCUUUGGCCAUUCCGAAGGGCAUGCCUGUUUGAGUAUCAUGAACACCUCAACUCUUUAUGGUUUUCCAUGAUGAGCUUGGACUCUGGGGGUUUUGCUGGCUCACAGUCGGCUCCUCUAAAAUGAAUCAGCUUACCAGUGUUUGGUGGGUAUCAUGGGUGUGAUAACUAUCUACGCUUGUGGUUUUUCCACCAGGUAACCUUCAGCAGUGGAGGUUCGCUGGAGCUCAUAGAUGUCUCUCCUCAGUGAGGACAGCCCUUUGAAUGUUUGAUCUCAAAUCAGGUAGGACUACCCGCUGAACUUAAGCAUAUCAAUAAGCGGAGGA
Molecule: unclassified non-coding RNA, 403 nt
Filed under: soil metagenome
Description: partial contains 5.8S ribosomal RNA, internal transcribed spacer 2, and large subunit ribosomal RNA
Rfam family: 5.8S ribosomal RNA (bases 2-119)
Source: RNAcentral